Molecule: ribosomal RNA, 253 nt
Filed under: uncultured bacterium
Lineage: Bacteria
Description: partial 16S ribosomal RNA
Rfam family: Bacterial small subunit ribosomal RNA
Source: RNAcentral
UACGAAGGGGGCUAGCGUUGCUCGGAAUGACUGGGCGUAAAGGGCGCGUAGGCGGAUGGCACAGUCAGAUGUGAAAUUCCUGGGCUUAACCUGGGGGCUGCAUUUGAUACGUGUUGUCUAGAGUGAGGAAGAGGGUUGUGGAAUUCCCAGUGUAGAGGUGAAAUUCGUAGAUAUUGGGAAGAACACCGGUGGCGAAGGCGGCUCUCUGGACCGACACUGACGCUGAGGCGCGAAAGCGUGGGGAGCAAACAGG